AACGCACAUUGCGCCCUUCGGUAUUCCGUUGGGCAUGCCUGUUCGAGCGUCAUUUAAACCUUCAAGCUCUGCUUGGUGUUGGGUGUUUGUUCCGCCUCUGCGCGUGGACUCGCCUCAAAUUCAUUGGCAGCCGGUAAGUUGGCUUCGUGCGCAGCACAUUGCGUGUCGAUUCCAGCCUGCCCCCUCCCAUUAAGCCUCUUUUUUACUUUGACCUCGGAUCAGGUAGGGAUACCCGCUGAACUUAA
Molecule: unclassified non-coding RNA, 245 nt
Filed under: uncultured fungus
Lineage: Eukaryota; Fungi
Description: partial contains 5.8S ribosomal RNA, internal transcribed spacer 2, and large subunit ribosomal RNA
Source: RNAcentral